Molecule: ribosomal RNA, 247 nt
Filed under: uncultured Lactobacillus sp.
Lineage: Bacteria; Bacillati; Bacillota; Bacilli; Lactobacillales; Lactobacillaceae
Description: partial 16S ribosomal RNA
Rfam family: Bacterial small subunit ribosomal RNA
Source: RNAcentral
CGUGGGCAAUCUGCCCUAAAGACUGGGAUACCACUUGGAAACAGGUGCUAAUACCGGAUAACAACAUGAAUCGCAUGAUUCAAGUUUGAAAGGCGGCGCAAGCUGUCACUUUAGGAUGAGCCCGCGGCGCAUUAGCUAGUUGGUGGGGUAAAGGCCUACCAAGGCAAUGAUGCGUAGCCGAGUUGAGAGACUGAUCGGCCACAUUGGGACUGAGACACGGCCCAAACUCCUACGGGAGGCAGCAGGC